This 487-nucleotide long non-coding RNA is filed under the name Podarcis lilfordi (Lilford's wall lizard). Lineage: Eukaryota; Metazoa; Chordata; Lepidosauria; Squamata; Lacertidae. The record is from RNAcentral.
UGUGACUGUAAAAGCGGAUCUAUAGAAUCGUUAUAUCAUAUAAUCUUCUGUUGUCCAUUACAUUCGGCUUCACGGUCCAAGUUUCUGGCCCCAUAUUUAUCGAGAAUUGCUGACAGUCCUCAGGAAGCCCAAAUAAUAUACUUAUUAAACGACGAAGAUACAAGUAGAUCCCUUGCAGUCGCUAGAUACCUGAUUAAUGUUUUAUUUCAAAAGAGGAGAAAUGGAUCACUGUAUGUUUCUGACAGCUUAGCUAAACUUAAGAACCAUCAAUAAGUGCCAGAACUAAGACGUAUACCCCCCAAAAUCUGAUGGAUCGGAAUUGCGGUUUACAUAGAGGGAGCUUAUUGUGUAUAGUGUUUACUAAACUAAAGUAAAAUCGGUUUUAUAAGGGUGUUUUAACUUGGAACUGUUUAAAUUGUAUUGUUUAUGGAUAAAUUCUGAUGUAUUGUUUUCGAUAUGGGCCAAUGGCCGCAAUAAAUAAAUCUCU